CUUAAGCAUAUCAAUAAGCGGAGGAAAAGAAACCAACAGGGAUUGCCCUAGUAACGGCGAGUGAAGCGGCAACAGCUCAAAUUUGAAAUCUGGCCCUCGGGUCCGAGUUGUAAUUUGUAGAGGAUGCUUUUGGCGCGGUGCCUUCCGAGUUCCCUGGAACGGGACGCCUUAGAGGGUGAGAGCCCCGUACGGUUGGACACCAAGCCUCUGUAAAGCUCCUUCGACGAGUCGAGUAGUUUGGGAAUGCUGCUCUAAAUGGGAGGUAAAUUUCUUCUAAAGCUAAAUAUUGGCCAGAGACCGAUAGCGCACAAGUAGAGUGAUCGAAAGAUGAAAAGCACUUUGAAAAGAGGGUUAAAUAGCACGUGAAAUUGUUGAAAGGGAAGCGUUUGCGACCAGACCUUUUCCUAGCGGAUCAACCGGUGUUCUCACCGGUGCACUUCGCUAGGUUUAGGCCAGCAUCGGUUUCUGUAGGGGGAUAAAAGCUCUGGGAACGUAGCUCCUCCGGGAGUGUUAUAGCCCUCUGCAUAAUACCCUUACGGGGACCGAGGACCGCGCUUCGGCAAGGAUGCUGGCGUAAUGGUCGUCAACGACCCGUCUUGAAACACGGACCAAGGAGUCGAACAUUUGUGCGAGUGUUUGGGUGUUAAACCCUCACGCGUAAUGAAAGUGAACGGAGGUGAGAGCCCUUACGGGUGCAUCAUCGACCGAUCCUGAUGUCUUCGGAUGGAUUUGAGUAAGAGCAUAACUGUUCGGACCCGAAAGAUGGUGAACUAUGCGUGGAUAGGGUGAAGCCAGAGGAAACUCUGGUGGAGGCUCGCAGCGGUUCUGACGUGCAAAUCGAUCGUCAAAUCUGCGCAUGGGGGCGAAAGACUUAUCGAACCAUCUAGUAGCUGGUUACCGCCGAA
This 905-nucleotide ribosomal RNA is filed under the name Xylaria enteroleuca. RNAcentral's name for it is "LSU rRNA". It matches the Rfam family "Eukaryotic large subunit ribosomal RNA", at positions 33 to 965 of the family's 3401-position model. The record is from RNAcentral. Lineage: Eukaryota; Fungi; Ascomycota; Sordariomycetes; Xylariales; Xylariaceae.